This 253-nucleotide ribosomal RNA is filed under the name uncultured bacterium. RNAcentral's name for it is "partial 16S ribosomal RNA". It matches the Rfam family "Bacterial small subunit ribosomal RNA", at positions 524 to 776 of the family's 1533-position model. The record is from RNAcentral.
UACGUAGGCAGCAAGCGUUGUUCGGAAUUACUGGGCGUAAAGCGCGCGUAGGCGGACUUGCAAGUCGGUGGUGAAAGCCCACGGCUCAACCGUGGAGGGUCAUUGGAAACUGGGGGACUUGAGUGCAGGAGAGAAGAGUGGAAUUCCACGUGUAGCGGUGAAAUGCGUAGAGAUGUGGAGGAACACCAGUGGCGAAGGCGACUCUUUGGGCUGUAACUGACGCUGAGGAGCGAAAGCGUGGGGAGCAAACAGG